CCCUUAGAUGUUCUGGGCCGCACGCGCGCUACACUGACAGGGUCAGCGAGUGCUCCUGCGUCGAAAGGCGUGGGUAAUCUUUGAAACCUUGUCGUGCUGGGGAUAGAUCCUUGCAAUUAUUGAUCUUGAACGAGGAAUGCCUAGUAAUCGUAGGUCAUCAGCCUGCGAUGAUUACGUCCCUGCCCUUUGUACACACCGCCCGUCGCUCCUACCGAUUUCGAGUGGUUCGGUGAACCUUUCGGACCGGCAAUGCCUCGUGUUGCGCCGGAAAGUCAAGUAAACCAUNUNACUUAGNGGAAGGAGAANUCGUANCA
This 314-nucleotide ribosomal RNA is filed under the name uncultured eukaryote. RNAcentral describes it as "partial 18S ribosomal RNA". It matches the Rfam family "Eukaryotic small subunit ribosomal RNA", at positions 1470 to 1796 of the family's 1831-position model. The record is from RNAcentral.